AGCCGUUUCUCUUUCUGUUUCUAAUAGCUAUGCUCUGCAAAAAUGGUGAACGACUGAAGAAUUAGGCUGAAUGACUGAAUGUUCGCAAACAUAAUUAGGCUGGUAAUCACAAACCCAUAUUGUGAAUUUCAUAUUAUUUUCAGAAACCCUAAUUUAACGAUUUUAGGGAUUUUUUUAUAAACCAAAUUGGGGGAUCAUGAAUUUGAAACUGGAAAGAACAUUGAAGAAGUAGGUACGAGUCUGAUGGAUCUGGUUGUUAAGAAGAAGUUGUUACUGGAUUGGAACGGAAGAUUAGAGACGCAAAAAUGUCAGGAAACGUAAACAGUUUUGAAGAUGUUGAUGGAGGUGGAAAUGGACCAACCUGUUAGCAUCUGUUGCUGCUGUUGUAGCGGCUCUGAAGAUGUUAAUGGUGUGGUAAAGGCCCAAAUGGUUGUGGUGGUUUUAAUUAGAUGUUGCUGCUGCUUUUGAAGUUGUUUUUGGUGGUGGAAAUGGACCAAGUAGCUAGCUAAUGUGGUGGUUUUGAGAAGAUGUUGAUGGAGGUGGCAAUGAAAUAAAUGGUUGUUGUUGGCUGUACUUGUUCAUGGCAUUCUGAACAUGACCCAUCGAUUGCUCCUAAGGUUCACUACUCCAGAUUCAGGGUCUACAUGAUGCCAUAUAUUUUUGGUUAACUGUGGUUAAGCUGCUUGAGUUAGAAUGGAGGGUAUUUUUGAAAAGAUUAACAACGUUUUUUUUCCCGAACCGUCGUGUCGGCCACAAUGUGAUCAUUUUGUAACCAAAUUGUAAAAGUAUGAUCAUUUUGUAACCGAAUUACAUAAAGUAUGACCCUUUUGUAAAUGGCCCAAUUUAAAAUUGUGUAUGGAGGGAUAAGUAGGGAGGACACAUAGGUAAUUUGGUUAACAUAUUUAACUGUGAGUCAUCACUUAACUCUCUUUUUAACGGAAAUAUGAUCAUUUUGUUAA
Papaver somniferum (opium poppy) is the source of this 959-nucleotide long non-coding RNA. RefSeq lists it as uncharacterized. NCBI's taxonomy places the organism in Eukaryota, Viridiplantae, Streptophyta, Magnoliopsida, Ranunculales, Papaveraceae. The record is from RefSeq and is a predicted model, not a curated record. The transcript is spliced from 2 exons.